UUUAUGGAGAGUUUGAUCCUGGCUCAGGAUGAACGCUGGCGGCGUGCCUAAUACAUGCAAGUCGAGCGAACGGACGAGAAGCUUGCUUCUCUGAUGUUAGCGGCGGACGGGUGAGUAACACGUGGAUAACCUACCUAUAAGACUGGGAUAACUUCGGGAAACCGGAGCUAAUACCGGAUAAUAUUUUGAACCGCAUGGUUCAAAAGUGAAAGACGGUCUUGCUGUCACUUAUAGAUGGAUCCGCGCUGCAUUAGCUAGUUGGUAAGGUAACGGCUUACCAAGGCAACGAUGCAUAGCCGACCUGAGAGGGUGAUCGGCCACACUGGAACUGAGACACGGUCCAGACUCCUACGGGAGGCAGCAGUAGGGAAUCUUCCGCAAUGGGCGAAAGCCUGACGGAGCAACGCCGCGUGAGUGAUGAAGGUCUUCGGAUCGUAAAACUCUGUUAUUAGGGAAGAACAUAUGUGUAAGUAACUGUGCACAUCUUGACGGUACCUAAUCAGAAAGCCACGGCUAACUACGUGCCAGCAGCCGCGGUAAUACGUAGGUGGCAAGCGUUAUCCGGAAUUAUUGGGCGUAAAGCGCGCGUAGGCGGUUUUUUAAGUCUGAUGUGAAAGCCCACGGCUCAACCGUGGAGGGUCAUUGGAAACUGGAAAACUUGAGUGCAGAAGAGGAAAGUGGAAUUCCAUGUGUAGCGGUGAAAUGCGCAGAGAUAUGGAGGAACACCAGUGGCGAAGGCGACUUUCUGGUCUGUAACUGACGCUGAUGUGCGAAAGCGUGGGGAUCAAACAGGAUUAGAUACCCUGGUAGUCCACGCCGUAAACGAUGAGUGCUAAGUGUUAGGGGGUUUCCGCCCCUUAGUGCUGCAGCUAACGCAUUAAGCACUCCGCCUGGGGAGUACGACCGCAAGGUUGAAACUCAAAGGAAUUGACGGGGACCCGCACAAGCGGUGGAGCAUGUGGUUUAAUUCGAAGCAACGCGAAGAACCUUACCAAAUCUUGACAUCCUUUGACAACUCUAGAGAUAGAGCCUUCCCCUUCGGGGGACAAAGUGACAGGUGGUGCAUGGUUGUCGUCAGCUCGUGUCGUGAGAUGUUGGGUUAAGUCCCGCAACGAGCGCAACCCUUAAGCUUAGUUGCCAUCAUUAAGUUGGGCACUCUAAGUUGACUGCCGGUGACAAACCGGAGGAAGGUGGGGAUGACGUCAAAUCAUCAUGCCCCUUAUGAUUUGGGCUACACACGUGCUACAAUGGACAAUACAAAGGGCAGCGAAACCGCGAGGUCAAGCAAAUCCCAUAAAGUUGUUCUCAGUUCGGAUUGUAGUCUGCAACUCGACUACAUGAAGCUGGAAUCGCUAGUAAUCGUAGAUCAGCAUGCUACGGUGAAUACGUUCCCGGGUCUUGUACACACCGCCCGUCACACCACGAGA
Molecule: ribosomal RNA, 1427 nt
Filed under: Staphylococcus aureus
Lineage: Bacteria; Bacillati; Bacillota; Bacilli; Caryophanales; Staphylococcaceae
Description: bacterial SSU rRNA
Rfam family: Bacterial small subunit ribosomal RNA
Source: RNAcentral